This is a long non-coding RNA of Uranotaenia lowii, 1935 nucleotides long. RefSeq lists it as uncharacterized. NCBI's taxonomy places the organism in Eukaryota, Metazoa, Arthropoda, Insecta, Diptera, Culicidae. The record is from RefSeq and is a predicted model, not a curated record. The transcript is spliced from 5 exons.
AAUAAAAUCUACUAGGUCGUUUCAAUAUUUUUUAAAGUUAAUCGCUCAAAUACAAAGUAAUGAUUUAUUCUGUACAAGUUAUUAGAAAAAUCAAUAAAUUCUGGAAGUGUAUUUUAUUGAUGAAAAACAUACUAAAAAGUAUAGGAAAAUCUAAUGAAUUCCAUGAGCCUAAUAAUCCUAAUCAAAUGUAUUAGAAAAUCUAUUAAUUUUCAAAUAUUUAUUUUUAUAUGGAAUUUACAUUUUGCAUAUCUAAUAAACUAACUAACAAUUCGCACCGACUCGAUUGUUAUGUGAAUUUGGUAAGAAAACCCGUAAAAUGGCCAAAAAAGUACUGCAAACUGUACGCACCGAGGCCGAAAACAUCGCUAGCGAUGAAGGUAAGUUGAAAAUCUGUUUUGUUUAGCGAUAAUUUUAAUUUUUUCUACCCCCCGUACAGCUCGCAGUAGAUGCGAAAAAAAACUUCACCCACCCGGCCGGACAAACACCGGAACAGUUCCAGCGCCGAACGAGGUGAAAACUGGGCAGAAACGACCAUACAUUCACAUCAUCAACAGCAGGAGCAAUACUUUGGCGGAAAAAAAACAUCACUCGUCCAGUUCCUCAAUCAUCAUUGCGACCACACAACCAGUCAUAACAUCCCGAAGGCUGGAGAAUUGUGCUAAUGACCGGAAUCCAGCUAGCAUUAUGUAAAGAGUAUUCCGCUUGGUUUCCCUGCUUGCCGGAUCUCUUCACACAAAAUUUAGCAACUGAAGAAGAAAAUAUUCCGAAUUCGGAUCGAAACGAAUCAAAAACAAGAACAAAGAAUAAGUCGCCACAUCAAAAGCCGCAGCAGUGGACUCUGGCAUAAGAAAACAUCCAACAGCCGUCACUGAUCGUAUCACCAACACCACCACUAGCCCGAGCAUUGACCGGUAAAGUCCCGUACAAACACCAGAGCAUUUCCGGCGCCAAACAAGGUGAACACUGGGCUGGAACAAUCAGCACCACUUCAUCAACAGCAGCAAAAGUAAACAUUACUCUGACGGAUGAAAACUCGUCCACGAUUGCGACCACAGACAACAGCCGCUACCGAUCAGAAGCAUCACCAAAUCCAACAUCAUACAUUCGCUGGAAGCAUUCUCUCUCAUUACUACCCGCUUAUCGCUGGAAGAGCCUAUAGCUACAAGUACUUGAUUUUUCUUCUCCCACGGCAGAAGAGCACCCGGCAGCGGAAGUGGCUCAAGCAGCCGUUACAUUUUUUUGGAUAGUUACUCGGACAAAAUUCUGCGGCUCAAACAGGAACAGAAGGCUCUGCAGGCACGGCUUCAGCGGCAAUCGACGUCACCGGAUUCCCGGACCAAUGGUUCGGGACUGCGUAAGCCCGGUCAAGAUCCAUUUGUCGGAGGUCAGAAACGGAAGAAUCCAUUUUUCAGAAGUGACGAUCCUGUUCAGUAAGACCACUUCCAAAGAAGUGCUGGCCACUGAUGCUACAGUUGCGAACAAACUUUUUGAGCCAAGUUCACAUCGAUCCACACCAACAACUGAUCGGUAAUCAGUGCCAGUAAGCUACCAAAGCCCAUCAAAAAUUUUACCAUCGAUAGGAGGUCUGACGUCUUAAGACCGUUUCUUCGGAAUCAAGAAUUCGUCGGCUGGUCUAAUAUUUCGCUUGGUGCGAGAUUCUAUCAAAGUACAUUAAACUACAAUACAAAGAUUUUACAAAAGGAACUUGAUGGAUACGCAAAUUUGAGGUAGAGUAACCUGGAUGAUGAUUCAGAUUUCAAUCCUAUUUUGCGAUCCUGGUCUUAUGCUAAAGUCGGUGGAACGGUGGAUGGCAUCGUCAACAACGUUGGAUAAUAUAGGAUAGGGAACUUACAAUGAAAACGGAACAACCACCCCCGAAGUGUCAUUUCCUAAUUUGAGCACUUAAGUGAUUAAUAAAAUAUUAUAAUGCUUCAA